RNAcentral lists this ribosomal RNA (440 nucleotides) under uncultured bacterium. Its description in RNAcentral is "partial 16S ribosomal RNA". It matches the Rfam family "Bacterial small subunit ribosomal RNA", at positions 338 to 795 of the family's 1533-position model. The record is from RNAcentral.
CCUACGGGUGGCAGCAGUGGGGGAUAUUGCACAAUGGGGGAAACCCUGAUGCAGCGACGCCGCGUGGGGGAAGACGGUCCUCUGGAUUGUAAACCACUGUCCCCAGGGACGAAGAUGACGGUACCGGGGGAGGAAGCGCCGGCUAACUACGUGCCAGCAGCCGCGGGAAUACGGAGGGAGCGAGCGUUGUCCGGAAUUACUGGGUGUAAAGGGAGCGGAGGCGGGACUGCAAGUUGGGUGUCAAAUCUACCGGCUCAACCGGUAGCCGCACUCCAAACUGCAGUUCUUGAGUGAAGUAGAGGCAGGCGGUCUUCCUCGUGUCGCGGUGCAAUGCGUAGAUAUUAGGAGGAACCCCAGUGGCGAAGGCGGCCUGCUGGGCUUUUCCUGCCGCUGAGGCUCGAAAGUGUGGGGAGCACACCGGAUUAGAUCCCCCUGUAGUC